Non-coding RNA from Cinara cedri, 697 nucleotides. The record is from the annotation of a GenBank genome assembly. NCBI's taxonomy places the organism in Eukaryota, Metazoa, Arthropoda, Insecta, Hemiptera, Aphididae.
UUAGAUAAAUGAGGAAUAUAAAAUAAAUGAUUGUUACGAGUGUGGUGGCUAUUAACUUUGAAAUAUAAUUGACUUAAUAUAAAUGAAUCAUCAAUCUCAUUAUUUAGCAAUUUGGUGAGGAACGUACUGUAUGGUAAGUGUCUCCGUGCAUUUAAAGAUUCUAAGUUUAACAGUUUUAAAAUAUUAUCGUAGCCAGAGUGAGGAGUUCGUUGAAUAUUACAUGUAUGACAUAANCUUAAUAUAAAUGAAUCAUCAAUCUCAUUAUUUAGUAAUUUGGUGAGGAACGUACUGUAUGAUAAGUGUCUCCGUGCAUUUAAAGAUUCUAAGUUUAACAAUUUUAAAAUAUUAUCGUAGCCAGAGUGAGAAGUUCUUUGAAUAAUACAUGUAUGACAUAAAAAUCUGAGGGCCUUAUUUUAAACUUUAUCAAGUUGAUCAUUAUGUCCUACAUUGUUAUGAUUCCAAAUUAUUGGAGCGUAUUCUAAUAAAGAACGGACUAGUGAGGUAUAAAGGCAUUUGAUAGCAAGUGGAUCACGAAAAUCGGAGCAGUUUCUUUUUAUCACACCAAAUACAGAUAAAGCUUUAUUUUUAAUCGCUGAUACAUGAUCAUUGAAUAAUAGUUUGGAAUCAAAUAAAAUCCCUAAAUCUUUAAAUAAUGACGAACGAUGUAGGUUAAUGUCACAUAUAUGAUAAUUAAAAU